UGCUGAGACUGAGACACGGCCCAGACUCCUACGGGAGGCAGCAGUGGGGAAUAUUGGACGAUGGGCGCAAGCCUGAUCCAGCAAUGCCGCGUGUGUGAAGAAGGCCUUCGGGUUGUAAAGCACUUUUAUCAGGAGCGAAAUACCACGGGUUAAUACCCUAUGGGGCUGACGGUACCUGAGGAAUAAGCACCGGCUAACUUCGUGCCAGCAGCCGCGGUAAUACGAAAGGUGC
RNAcentral lists this ribosomal RNA (232 nucleotides) under Rhodanobacteraceae bacterium. RNAcentral describes it as "partial 16S ribosomal RNA". It matches the Rfam family "Bacterial small subunit ribosomal RNA", at positions 311 to 535 of the family's 1533-position model. Lineage: Bacteria; Pseudomonadati; Pseudomonadota; Gammaproteobacteria; Lysobacterales; Rhodanobacteraceae. The record is from RNAcentral.